AUUAAGCCAUGCAUGUCUAAGCACAUGCCUUAAUACGGUGAAGCCGCGAAUAGCUCAUUACAACAGCCACCGUUUACUAGAAUAUAGUUAUCCUACUUGGAUAACUGUGGCAAUUCUAGAGCUAAUACAUGCAAAAGAGCUCUGCCCGCAAGGAACGAGCGCAUUUAUUAGAAUAAAAACCAAUCGGGUCUCGGCCCGUAAAUUUGGUGAAUCUGAAUAACUUUGCCAAUCGCACGGUCCUAGUACCGGCGAUGUAUCUUUCAAGUGUCUGCCUUAUCAACUUUCGAUGGUAGGUUAUACGCCUACCAUGGUAGUAACGGGUAACGGAGAAUAAGGGUUCGACUCCGGAGAGGGAGCCUGAGAAACGGCUACCACAUCCAAGGAAGGCAGCAGGCGCGCAAAUUACCCACUUCCAGUACGGAGAGGUAGUGACGAAAAAUAACGAGACAGUUCUCUUCGAGGUCUGUCAUCGGAAUGGGUACAAUUUAAAUCCUUUAACGAGGAUCUAUUGGAGGGCAAGUCUGGUGCCAGCAGCCGCGGUAAUUCCAGCUCCAAUAGCGUUAUAUUAAAGUUGUUGCGGUUAAAAAGCUCGUAGUUGGAUCUGCGCUUUCGGCCUCGGUCCACCCAAAGGGUGCGAACUGAGAGCCAAAGCUAAUACUGCUGGUUUUCCCUUGAUGCUCUUCACCGAGUGUCUUGGGUGGCUAGCGAGUUUACUUUGAAAAAAUUAGAGUGCUCAAAACAGGCUUUAAGCCUGAAUAGUGGUGCAUGGAAUAAUAGAAUAGGACCUUGGUUCUAUUUUGUUGGAUUUCGGAACUAAGAUAAUGGUUAAGAGGGACAGACGGGGGCAUUCGUAUCGCUGCGUGAGAGGUGAAAUUCUUGGACCGCAGCGAGACGCCCUACUGCGAAAGCAUUUGCCAAGAAUGUCUUCGUUAAUCAAGAACGAAAGUCAGAGGUUCGAAGGCGAUCAGAUACCGCCCUAGUUCUGACCGUAAACGAUGCCAACUAGUGAUCCGUCGGUGGUAAUUACGCCCCGACGGGGAACUUCCCGGAAACGAAAGUCUUCCGGUUCCGGGGGAAGUAUGGUUGCAAAGCUGAAACUUAAAGGAAUUGACGGAAGGGCACCACCAGGAGUGGAGCCUGCGGCUUAAUUUGACUCAACACGGGAAAACUCACCCGGCCCGGACACUGUAAGGAUUGACAGAUCGAGAGCUCUUUCUUGAUUCGGUGGUUGGUGGUGCAUGGCCGUUCUUAGUUGGUGGAGCGAUUUGUCUGGUUUAUUCCGAUAACGAACGAGACUCCGGCCUACUAAAUAGUGACUGGAUCUUUUAGUCCAGUAUACUUCUUAGAGGGACAAGUGGCGUUUAGCCACAUGAAAUGGAGCAAUAACAGGUCUGUGAUGCCCUUAGAUGUCCGGGGCUGCACGCGCGCUACACUGGAGGAGGCAGCGUGCUAAACCAUUGCCGAAAGGCAUUGGUAAACCCAUGAAAAUCCUCCGUGAUCGGGAUCGGGAAUUGCAAUUAUUUCCCUUGAACGAGGAAUUCCCAGUAAGUGUGGGUCAUAAGCUCGCGCUGAUUACGUCCCUGCCCUUUGUACACACCGCCCGUCGCUGCCCGGGACUGAGCCGUUUCGAGAAAAGCGGGGACUGCUGUUGUCGAGGGUUUCGGCCCUUGGCUUCUGGUGGAAACCGCUUUAAUCGCAGUGGCU
RNAcentral lists this ribosomal RNA (1704 nucleotides) under uncultured eukaryote. RNAcentral describes it as "SSU rRNA". It matches the Rfam family "Eukaryotic small subunit ribosomal RNA". The record is from RNAcentral.